RNAcentral lists this ribosomal RNA (433 nucleotides) under uncultured bacterium. Its description in RNAcentral is "partial 16S ribosomal RNA". It matches the Rfam family "Bacterial small subunit ribosomal RNA", at positions 29 to 507 of the family's 1533-position model. The record is from RNAcentral.
AACGAAGGCUGGCGGCAUGCCUAACACAUGCAAGUCGAACGAGACCUUCGGGUCUAGUGGCGCACGGGUGCGUAACGCGUGGGAACCUGCCCUUAGGUUCGGAAUAACUCCCCGAAAGGGGUGCUAAUACCGGAUAAUGUCUUCGGACCAAAGAUUUAUCGCCUUUGGAUGGGCCCGCGUUGGAUUAGCUAGUUGGUAGGGUAAAAGCCUACCAAGGCGACGAUCCAUAGCUGGUCUGAGAGGAUGAUCAGCCACACUGGGACUGAGACACGGCCCAGACUCCUACGGGAGGCAGCAGUGGGGAAUAUUGGACAAUGGGCGAAAGCCUGAUCCAGCAAUGCCGCGUGAGUGAUGAAGGCCUUAGGGUUGUAAAGCUCUUUUACCCGGGAUGAUAAUGACAGUACCGGGAGAAUAAGCGCCGGCUAACUCCGUG